Long non-coding RNA from Gossypium raimondii (Peruvian cotton), 781 nucleotides. RefSeq lists it as uncharacterized. The transcript is spliced from 3 exons. NCBI's taxonomy places the organism in Eukaryota, Viridiplantae, Streptophyta, Magnoliopsida, Malvales, Malvaceae. The record is from RefSeq and is a predicted model, not a curated record.
GCCGAAUGUUAAAGAGAAGGAGGAGGUUUGAAACAUUUCAAUUUUAACCCUUUGAUUGGUUAGGUAUGAUUCAUGAUAUUUGAACUACGACUUCAACAUCCAGUCAACAAUCCCGAACUCGUCAAACAUUUCCUACAGCAAAGGCCAUGUAGACGUAGAUUGAUGGAUGAUCAGCAUGGGAUGUCCUAAAAUUAUUUAUUGGACUUCUAAUUUCAAUUUGACUCAGCUCUUAAUUGGAUCACUGAAGGGAACAAACUCGCUACUUAUUAGAAGCCUAAAUCGUCCACUAAUGGAGGAAAAGAGCCCAACUCAGCUAAAGAAGCCCAACCAUCCAUAAAAUAAUUAAACUAGACACCCAAAACAUGUUAAAAAAAUCACAAAUCAGCCAUAAUAACUUCCCCAUGUGACCGUUCAAGUCCUUUCCAAGAAUCAAGCUUUGGCUAGCUAAAUUUAGCAAAGUCAUCAACCUUCCUUCCUCCACUCAAGGGGUCAGCCAUGCAUGAGAGAAAAAUGGGGGAUUGACAUGUUAUUUUUAGUAAACUUAAGGGGCUCCUCACAAGUAUAAAUACCCCUAGAAAUUCACCCAUUUCAUGCAUCCCUCACUCACCAUCUCUUCUCUCUUUUCUCUUCCCAUUUUCCAUUUUCUUCAAAAAAGUUUGCAAGGCUUGAGAACAGCCCAAUUUGGCAUAUUAUGAUUUUCCAACUUGUUUGUCAUAGUAAGAAACGAAGAACAAAGGAAGAGCAAAGUGAAUUGUGUCUCGGAGAACCACUGGAAACGGCU